CUCCGCUCUCCCGAUCUCUCUCGAUCUCAUCCCUAUCGAUCUCCUCUCUCUCGAUCUCUUCCCUCUCGAUCUCCUUCUUCUCGAUCUCUCUCUCUCACAUUCUUUCUUUCUCUCUCUGUCUCCCAUCUCACCUACCCUAAACCUUCAUAAGCCGCCGUAAACCAUCUGCGCCAGCCACAAGCCGCCAUCCACAAAGCAUCACCAGCUGCGACUUUGUUUGUUCUUCAUUUGUAGGGAGGCGUUGAAGUGUGAACUAUCUCAAAAAAUUAUUGGGUGCAAACCAAAAACAUGCAGGCUCAAUUGUGUACUCCUUUGCUUCAAUCAAUCUGCCCAAACAGGUCUAAUGGACUACGCUUUUUAGCCGUAUAGAAGUCAAAAACUAACAAACCGAUAGUUUCCCCGGAAACUCACACCAUGGAAGUUUUGAUUUAUAUAGAUCGGGCAUACAUUCUUUGAGGAGCAAGACUGAGCUAACUAUUCUGGGAUUAGUUGGUU
This 495-nucleotide small RNA is filed under the name Malus domestica (apple). RNAcentral describes it as "sRNA MD12G0156200". The record is from RNAcentral. Lineage: Eukaryota; Viridiplantae; Streptophyta; Magnoliopsida; Rosales; Rosaceae.